This 82-nucleotide ribosomal RNA is filed under the name Gadopsis bispinosus. Its description in RNAcentral is "partial 16S ribosomal RNA". The record is from RNAcentral. Lineage: Eukaryota; Metazoa; Chordata; Actinopteri; Centrarchiformes; Percichthyidae.
CGCCAAAUAGCUAGCCCACUUAACCAAAAACAACACCACCUCAUUAAUAAACCCAAACACCUCAAACCACACAAAACAAAUC